Molecule: long non-coding RNA, 1469 nt
Filed under: Physcomitrium patens
Lineage: Eukaryota; Viridiplantae; Streptophyta; Bryopsida; Funariales; Funariaceae
Description: long non-coding RNA (PPAT_LNC010379)
Source: RNAcentral
AUUCUUUCUUUGUUGAAAUUGCUCAAGUACCUCCAUUUGAUGUUGUACAAGAAUUAUUUGCAGAGAAUCAAUAAGAUCUACAUAUAACUCCCUCAAAACUAAUGCCAUCAACCACAAGCAUAGCCAUAUUCAAUUAAUUUAAGAAAUUAUCAAGCAAAUCACCUUAUUCUACAAAUAAAGAUACAAUGAUCAAACAACAAAUCCACAAUGCAUUAAAAAUUACAAACUCAUUAAAGAAACCUUGAUGAACAUCAUUUGCAAGUAAGAUACCUCACAUAUAAAGUAAUAUGUAUGUAUGUAUAUAUAUAUAAGUCCUAGAUUGGUUCUUAGGAUUUUUACUCUAAGUAGUUCUCUAACGGAAGUGUUAAUAUUCUUGUUCAACUGAUAGAAUUCAUUCACGUUUAUCUAUUCACCCAUAGAGCUUCACUGAUUGGCUAAUCAGAUGACAAUAUGUAUACUUAGACAUUAAGUAUGUAUAAGAUACUUUCCUCGUGUAUAUCACCCUCUCUCUAAUUUUGAUUUACUCAUAGCAAUCAUCAAAUUGUAAUAGUGCUUUGAUCAAGCAACCAGGUCACUUCAAUACCACACACUUGAUUAUGAGAUUUUUCUUGCUACACUCUUGUAAUUAGUGUGUAAAAUCAAAUAGUGUGUAUUUCCAAUUAGUGUGAUACACACUGUAAACCAGACACUCAUGUCGUGUCCCAAAGGCCCUUGGCAAACAGUAUGAUACACACUAAUUACGGAUGUCGGUGUAGCUCUCUCUUCUACGACGUCGUCGAGGUCGGACACACGUUGUUGGGCGUCCGUGGACUAUCUUAGAAAAGAUAUCGCGAUCGUUCCGACGCUUCGAUCGAUGGGUGUUGUCUAGAACGCGAUCAUCCGUAGCGCGUUGCUGGAGUCUCUUCGUGAAUACGUUGGGGAUUUUCGCAGUGUCUUGCUCUCUCUGAAAUUCACACUGAUCCUUCCAGAGGUCGGAACGGAGCUGGUUGAUCCUUAGAUAUUCAGCUACAGCCUGUGCUUUGCGCAAAGAUCACACCACCGAAGAAUGAUGCGAUGAUCGACAAAACAGGGUCUGCAAUUCUCCACCUGGGACGAUCGAAAAGAUUUCUUUCCUCCAGAGAUGUUGAUUUAUACUUCGACUCACAGCUUCGGCUGCGUAUCGUGAUUGUAUUUGUAGAUGUAUAUUAGAGACUGUGUUCAAAACAAUUAAAGACUGUAUUUCCAUUCUUUCCUUUCAAAAUCCAAUUAACGAAAGAUUUGGGCCAGAAAUAUUUAAUGUCAUCAGUUUCAGAUACAGAUUUUUGCGUUGAGGUCCCAAAAUAAGAAGAAAAAAACAUAUGUGAAAGUGCUGUACGCCGUUGGGAAGACAAAAGUCUAGAUUUUAUUUUAUUGUACUUCAUUUUCUUGAAGAUUGCAAGCAGAAAUUCACAUCUGGAGAAAGUUCUUGUGAAAUCUAUUAAUCUUUGCUG